Long non-coding RNA from Anopheles funestus (African malaria mosquito), 624 nucleotides. RefSeq lists it as uncharacterized. The transcript is spliced from 2 exons. NCBI's taxonomy places the organism in Eukaryota, Metazoa, Arthropoda, Insecta, Diptera, Culicidae. The record is from RefSeq and is a predicted model, not a curated record.
UUAGGUAUAGUUACAUUUAAAGGUAAAACUGUUUUUUCCUCAAUAUUAUCCAAUAGCAAUAUCGAUAAGGGGUAAGCAACAUAGUUGUCUUAGACAAAACUAAUAAAAUAUUAAGUUUAUUCUUUGUCUGGCAGGUCGCUGUACAAAUAUUGAAUCCAUCGUUAAAAGUCCGCUCUUGAGUUACAAGUUUGAAGUGUAGAUAUGAACCUUUUUCACGCUACUAUGCGUUGGUUCGUCUUUAAAGAGUCUGCUAGAGUUGUUCGCGAUGGAACUAAAACUUCCUGUAGGUAGCAUUAAUAUCCGUAUUCCGUAGUACUACCAUUUAUCGCUCCAUAUAUUAAAUCAAAUCCUUUCUUAGGAUACUGGUUUAACCUGGGGUUUGUGUUGGUUUGGUGUGUUAGUGAAUCUGUCCGUUUCCGUUGCCGCCGGAUAUCAAGUGAGCUCUAUCAAUGCCCCAGCAAAACUUAUCCAAUCCUGGCUUCGCACCGUUUUCCUCGUUCGUUAUCGAGUGCAGCUUACAGAUAGUGCUUUACAGGUGCUUUGGUCCAUUGUAGUGUCCACCGUUUUGCUUGGUGGAAUCGUAACUUCCCAUUUCAGUGGUAUUAUUUCCACCACCUAUGGAAG